This 2011-nucleotide ribosomal RNA is filed under the name human metagenome. RNAcentral's name for it is "bacterial LSU rRNA". It matches the Rfam family "Bacterial large subunit ribosomal RNA", at positions 1 to 2027 of the family's 2925-position model. The record is from RNAcentral.
UUAAGGAACAAAGAGCAUAAGGUGAAUGCCUUGGUGAUUAGAGCCGAAGAAGGACGUGGCAAGCUGCGAAAAGCUAUGAUAAGGAGCAAACAUCCGCAAUAGUCAUAGAUCUCCGAAUGAGGAAACUCACUUAAUAGAGAUAUUAAGUAUCCAUUGCUGAAUUCAUAGGUAAUAGGAAGGGAACCCACCGAACUGAAACAUCUAAGUAAGUGGAGGAAAAGAAAGAAACAUCGAUUCCCAAAGUAGCGGCGAGCGAAAUGGGAGGAGGCCAAACCGAAUAAGGAAACUUAAUCGGGGUGAGGGAAGCUAACAAUAUGAUUGAGGUAUCGCAAAGGAAAUACUUGGGAAAGUAUACCAAAGAAGGUAAGAGUCCUGUACUUGAAGCGAGAAAACACAUAAGCUUUACCCGAGUAUCGUAGGACACGAGGAACCCUGCGAGAAAGAUGGGGGACCACCCCCAAAGCCUAAAUACUACUAAUCAACCGAUAGAAAAUAGUACCGUGAGGGAAAGGUGAAAAGAACCCCGGGAGGGGAGUGAAAAAGAACCUGAAACCAUAUGCUUACAAACAGAUGGAGCGAGCAAUCGUGACAUCGUACUUUUUGUAGAACGGGCCAACGAGUUAUGCUGUAAAGCAAGGAUAAUAAAUUAAGUUUAGCAUCCAAAGCGAAAGCAAGUCUUAAUAGGGCGAAAAGUUAUGCAGCAUAGACCCGAAACCGGGCGACCUACCCAUGAGCAGGUUGAAGUUUCAGUAACAUGAAAUGGAGGACCGAACCCACGAACGUUGAAAAGUUCGGGGAUGACUUGUGGGUAGCGGUGAAAUUCCAAUCGAGCUCGGAGAUAGCUGGUUCUCUUCGAAAUAGCUUUAGGGCUAGCGUCUUAAGAAGUGUAUAUCGGGGGUAGAGCACUGAAUGCUCUAGGGGCCGUAUAGGUUACCGAAAGCUAUCAAACUUCGAAUACCGAUAUAUAAAUAAGGCAGUCAGACUACGAGUGAUAAGAUCCGUGGUCAAGAGGGAAAAAGCCCAGAUCAACAGCUAAGGUCCCAAAAUGUAUGUUAAGUGGAAAAGGAUGUGAAAUUGCACAGACAACCAGGAUGUUGGCUUAGAAGCAGCCAUACAUUAAAAGAGUGCGUAAUAGCUCACUGGUCGAGUGGUUUUGCGCCGAAAAUUACCGGGGCUCAAACAUACUACCGAAGCUUUGAAUUCACACGCAAGUGUGAGUGGUAGAAGAGCAUCGUAUGAUAGGGAGAAGGAGUAUUGAAAAAGACUCUGGACGAAAUACGAGAGAGAAUGUUGGCAUGAGUAGCGAGAUGUGUGUGAGAAUCACACAGGCCGAAAACCCAAGGUUUUCCAAGGAAGGUUCGUCCGCUUGGAGUAAGUCGGGGCCUAAGGAGAGGCAGAAAUGCGUAUCUGAUGGAUAACAGGUUAAGAUUCCUGUACCUACGCUUAUCGCCAAAGAGGAGAAGGAAUGACGCAGGAGGAUAAGAUCAGCGCACGGUUGGAAGAGUGCGUCCAAGCAGUAAGGCAGGCAUAUAGGCAAAUCCGUAUGCUGGUAAUGUUGAGCUGUGACGGGGAGAGAAGUUAAGUAUCGAAGGAUCUGAUUUCACACUGACAGGAAAAGUUUCUAUCCAGAUAAGAGUAGCCCGUACCAAAACCGACACAGGUGGGUAAGGUGAGAAACCUAAGGCCAGCGAGAGAACUGUUGUUAAGGAACUCGGCAAAAUGACCCCGUAACUUAGGGAUAAGGGGUGCCUUAGAGAUAAGGCUUCAAGAAAAAGGCCCAAGCGACUGUUUACCAAAAACAUAGGUCUCUGCGAAACCGCAAGGUGAAGUAUAGGGGCUGACGCCUGCCCGGUGCUGGAAGGUUAAGAGGAGAUGUCAGGCAACGAAGCAUUGAAUUUAAGCCCCAGUAAACGGCGGCCGUAACUAUAACGGUCCUAAGGUAGCGAAAUUCCUUGUCGGGUAAGUUCCGACCCGCACGAAAGGCGUAACGAUUUGGGCACUGUCUCAACGA